This 481-nucleotide ribosomal RNA is filed under the name Paruroctonus becki. Its description in RNAcentral is "partial 16S ribosomal RNA". It matches the Rfam family "Bacterial large subunit ribosomal RNA", at positions 1832 to 2600 of the family's 2925-position model. Lineage: Eukaryota; Metazoa; Arthropoda; Arachnida; Scorpiones; Vaejovidae. The record is from RNAcentral.
GGUUUUUAGAUUUUAUUAAAAAUCAAGCCUGCUCAAUGCUGAGUAAAUAGCCGCAGAAUUUUAACUGUGCAAAGGUAGCAUAAUCAUUUGUCUUUUAAUUGAGGACUAGAAUGAAAGGUUUAACUAUGUAAUUUUGUCUUAUAGUAAUAUUUUGAACUUAAUUUUUUAGUAAAAAAGCUAAAAUUCAUCUUAAAGACGAGAAGACCCUAUUAAGCUUUACAAUUUAAUAUUAUUUUCAAACUAAUUAAAAAAUUGUUCUGCUGGGGCAGCAAAUAAAAAAAUAUUAUUUACAUAUUGUGAUAAAUAAAUCUAGAAAAAUCAAUAAUUUGUUAAAAAAUAAUAAGUUACUAUAGGGAUAACAGCAUAAUUUUUUUAAAGAGUUCUCAUCAACAAAAAAGUUUGUGACCUCGAUGUUGGAUUAAGAAUCCUAUUUUACGCAGUAGUAGAAAAAGGGAGUCUGUUCGACUUUUAAAUUCUUCCA